AUCAACUUUCGAUGGUAGGAUAGAGGCCUACCAUGGUGGUAACGGGUAACGGGGUGUUAGGGCACGACACCGGAGAGGGAGCCUGAGAAACGGCUACCACAUCCAAGGAUGGCAGCAGGCGCGCAAAUUACCCAAUCCCGACACGGGGAGGUAGUGACAAUAAAUAACAAUACGGGGUUCUUUCGGAUUUCGUAAUUGGAAUGAGUACAAUUUAAAUCUCUUAACGAGGAACAAUUGGAGGGCAAGUCUGGUGCCAGCAGCCGCGGUAAUUCCAGCUCCAAUAGCGUAUAUUAAAGUUGCUGCAGUUAAAAAGCUCGUAGUUGAAUUUCGGGAUCAUCAUGUCGGUCGUGCUUCGGUACGUACUGGCAUUGUUGGCUUCUACCUUCUGACGAACCAUGAUGUCAUUUAUUUGGUGUCGUGGGAAAUCAGGACUGUUACUUUGAAAAAAUUAGAGUGUUUAAAGCAGGCUCACGCUUGAAUACAUUAGCAUGGAAUAAUGAAAUAGGACGUUUGAUUCUAUUUUGUUGGUUUCUAGGAUCGACGUAAUGAUUAAUAGGGAUAGUUGGGGGCAUUAGUAUUCAAUUGUCAGAGGUGAAAUUCUUGGAUUUAUUGAAGACUAACUACUGCGAAAGCAUUUGCCAAGGAUGUUUUCAUUAAUCAAGAACGAAAGUUAGGGGAUCGAAGACGAUCAGAUACCGUCGUAGUCUUAACCAUAAACUAUGCCGACUAGGGAUCGGAUGAUGUUAAUUUUUUAAUGACUCAUUCGGCGCCUUACGGGAAACCAAAGUGUUUGGGUUC
Molecule: ribosomal RNA, 798 nt
Filed under: uncultured Glomeromycotina
Lineage: Eukaryota; Fungi; Glomeromycota
Description: SSU rRNA
Rfam family: Eukaryotic small subunit ribosomal RNA
Source: RNAcentral